RNAcentral lists this ribosomal RNA (464 nucleotides) under uncultured bacterium. Its description in RNAcentral is "partial 16S ribosomal RNA". It matches the Rfam family "Bacterial small subunit ribosomal RNA", at positions 28 to 507 of the family's 1533-position model. The record is from RNAcentral.
GGCGAACGCUGGCGGCGUGCUUAACACAUGCAAGUCGAACGGAAAGGCCCUGCUUGCAGGGUACUCGAGUGGCGAACGGGUGAGUAACACGUGGGUGAUCUGCCCUGCACUUCGGGAUAAGCCUGGGAAACUGGGUCUAAUACCGGAUAGGAGCCAUUUUUAGUGUGAUGGUUGGAAAGUUUUUUCGGUGUAGGAUGAGCUCGCGGCCUAUCAGCUUGUUGGUGGGGUAAUGGCCUACCAAGGCGGCGACGGGUAGCCGGCCUGAGAGGGUGGACGGCCACAUUGGGACUGAGAUACGGCCCAGACUCCUACGGGAGGCAGCAGUGGGGAAUAUUGCACAAUGGGCGCAAGCCUGAUGCAGCGACGCCGCGUGGGGGAUGACGGCCUUCGGGUUGUAAACUCCUUUCGCUAGGGACGAAGCUUUUGUGACGGUACCUAGAGAAGAAGCACCGGCUAACUACGUG